AGUAAGCUUUAAUCCGGAGGUUCCCGAAUGAGGAAACUCUUAUAUACUACCUACUGAAUUCAUAAGUAGGAAAGAGCAAACCUAGCGAACUGAAACAUCUUAGUAGCUAGAGGAAAAGAAAGCAAAAGCGAUUCCCUGAGUAGCGGCGAGCGAAACGGGAUCAGCCUAAACCACUUUAACAAGUUUUAGUGGGGUUGUGGGACAGAACAAAAAAAUAACAUAAGUUAGGUGAAACAAUUGGAAUAUUGUAUCAUAGAAGGUGAUAAUCCUGUAACCGAAAACAAUUGUUAUAUAUCUGUAUCCCAAGUAGCAUGGGACACGUGAAAUCCCGUGUGAAUCAGCGAGGACCACCUCGUAAGGCUAAAUAUUCCUAAAUGACCGAUAGUGAAACAGUACCGUGAGGGAAAGGUGAAAAGAACCCCGGGAGGGGAGUGAAAUA
RNAcentral lists this ribosomal RNA (439 nucleotides) under Acinetobacter baumannii. Its description in RNAcentral is "partial 23S ribosomal RNA". It matches the Rfam family "Bacterial large subunit ribosomal RNA", at positions 91 to 545 of the family's 2925-position model. The record is from RNAcentral. Lineage: Bacteria; Pseudomonadati; Pseudomonadota; Gammaproteobacteria; Moraxellales; Moraxellaceae.